Molecule: ribosomal RNA, 1443 nt
Filed under: uncultured organism
Description: 16S ribosomal RNA
Rfam family: Bacterial small subunit ribosomal RNA
Source: RNAcentral
ACGAACGCUGGCGGCGUGCUUAACACAUGCAAGUCGAACGGAAAGGCCCUGCUUUUGUGGGGUGCUCGAGUGGCGAACGGGUGAGUAACACGUGAGUAACCUGCCCUUGACUUUGGGAUAACUUCAGGAAACUGGGGCUAAUACCGGAUAGGAGCUCCUGCUGCAUGGUGGGGGUUGGAAAGUUUCGGCGGUUGGGGAUAGACUCGCGGCUUAUCAGCUUGUUGGUGGGGUAGUGGCUUACCAAGGCUUUGACGGGUAGCCGGCCUGAGAGGGUGACCGGCCACAUUGGGACUGAGAUACGGCCCAGACUCCUACGGGAGGCAGCAGUGGGGAAUAUUGCACAAUGGGCGGAAGCCUGAUGCAGCAACGCCGCGUGCGGGAUGACGGCCUUCGGGUUGUAAACCGCUUUCGCCUGUGACGAAGCGUGAGUGACGGUAAUGGGUAAAGAAGCACCGGCUAACUACGUGCCAGCAGCCGCGGUGAUACGUAGGGUGCGAGCGUUGUCCGGAUUUAUUGGGCGUAAAGGGCUCGUAGGUGGUUGAUCGCGUCGGAAGUGUAAUCUUGGGGCUUAACCCUGAGCGUGCUUUCGAUACGGGUUGACUUGAGGAAGGUAGGGGAGAAUGGAAUUCCUGGUGGAGCGGUGGAAUGCGCAGAUAUCAGGAGGAACACCAGUGGCGAAGGCGGUUCUCUGGGCCUUUCCUGACGCUGAGGAGCGAAAGCGUGGGGAGCGAACAGGCUUAGAUACCCUGGUAGUCCACGCUGUAAACGGUGGGUACUAGGUGUGGGGUCCAUUCCACGGGUUCCGUGCCGUAGCUAACGCUUUAAGUACCCCGCCUGGGGAGUACGGCCGCAAGGCUAAAACUCAAAGGAAUUGACGGGGCCCCGCACAAGCGGCGGAGCAUGCGGAUUAAUUCGAUGCAACGCGUAGAACCUUACCUGGGUUUGACAUGGAUCGGGAGUGCUCAGAGAUGGGUGUGCCUCUUUUGGGGUCGGUUCACAGGUGGUGCAUGGCUGUCGUCAGCUCGUGUCGUGAGAUGUUGGGUUAAGUCCCGCAACGAGCGCAACCCUUGUUCACUGUUGCCAGCACGUUAUGGUGGGGACUCAGUGGAGACCGCCGGGGUCAACUCGGAGGAAGGUGGGGAUGGCGUCAAGUCAUCAUGCCCCUUAUGUCCAGGGCUUCACGCAUGCUACAAUGGCUGGUACAGAGAGUGGCGAGCCUGUGAGGGUGAGCGAAUCUCGGAAAGCCGGUCUCAGUUCGGAUUGGGGUCUGCAACUCGACCUCAUGAAGUCGGAGUCGCUAGUAAUCGCAGAUCAGCAACGCUGCGGUGAAUACGUUCCCGGGGCUUGUACACACCGCCCGUCAAGUCAUGAAAGUUGGUAACACCCGAAGCCGGUGGCCUAACCGUUGUGGGGGAGCCGUCGAAGGUGGGACUGGUGAUUAGG